AUGAACAUGGGACGUCUAAGGUACAUGAACAUGGAUGUCAAAGAUAAAAUAAAACCUAUAUUUUUAUGUUUUCAAAUAUAAACCAGGAACCUCACAUCUUGUGUACUAUACUUGAUGUCUUGCAUUUGAAACAUCAAGGUUCUUGGUUCUGUUAUGGAAGAUAUUGUGACCCUUGUGUUCUGCUAUGUUUAUGUGAGGUUGGUGUUUGUGUUUUCCGCAGCAAUAGGUGUCUAUAUAAAUAAAUGAUUAGACUAGAACUUAGUGGCAGUAACGCUUAGCGUUGUGUGUAUGUUGAUGAUAUAGGUACAUG
Molecule: long non-coding RNA, 310 nt
Filed under: Brassica napus (rape)
Lineage: Eukaryota; Viridiplantae; Streptophyta; Magnoliopsida; Brassicales; Brassicaceae
Description: long non-coding RNA (BNAP_LNC002915)
Source: RNAcentral